GCGAAUAAAGGGCUCUACCUAUCGUGGAAUCAGUCCAGCUAGAUCCCCGUCCCACCCGGACGGCAGUCGCCCCUCUGCGUUAACCCUUCCACUGCCCUAGUGAGGUGGGAAAGGGGGUCCUUGAGAGCCCUAUGGCCCAGGAGAGACCGGGCAGAACUGAUUCGGCCAAGGGCAGCAUGAGGUGUGGGAGGAGCACGGCACAAGGAGUCAAGCCUCCUGCGUUCUAGCCCAGGCUCUCUUCGCACAGAGGCCUUAGGCAAGACCCUCCCCCGGAUGGAGACCGGAUUCCGUGAUUUUCUAAACACCAGCUACCAGAGCUUAUGACUCUGAGGGGCCAAACCAGGGAAGAUGAGGCUCCCUUUGCACCCAAAAUUUGGGGAGAGGCAAAAGGGGACCGGAUGCCCUAGCGUGGCAGAAUCCGGCGAAGCUCCUUCCAACUUCUCAGAACCUCCACUCUAUGGAUCUGGACCUCUGGAUUCGGCUUUCUCCCUGGGCACUGCCUUCAGGAAGACGUUGAGAAUUGACCUUACACAAUCCCAGCGCCCUCCUCACAGGAGCCUUUCACUUCACAGUGGCGAGGGGCUGGUUCUGGGGAACUGGCUGAUGCUCUGAAUUUCUUCAUAUACCCCACAUUUGACUUUGGCUUACACUGUACAAUUGGAGAUGUUGCUACAGGUCCCUGAGAUGCAAUCAGAUUAAGCGUAGCAAGCAUUGCCAAUGGGAAAGUCAAAAUAAUUUAUUUUUUUCGCUUUCCCCCUACCCCAUCCCCAGCCAAGAAUGUCUUUUAAAGAUAUCGUCAUCAUUCUUAAACAACAUUCUUAACCCCCAGCUGGGGUCCCCAUUUUAGUAGAUGUCAUUGCUUCAAGUCUAACGGCGCCGGGAGGCCUGUUUGAGGGAAAACAUUAGUUUGAAAAAUCCCCGU
This 922-nucleotide long non-coding RNA is filed under the name Gorilla gorilla gorilla (western lowland gorilla). Its description in RNAcentral is "lncRNA (ENSGGOG00000044317.1)". Lineage: Eukaryota; Metazoa; Chordata; Mammalia; Primates; Hominidae. The record is from RNAcentral.